This 1309-nucleotide long non-coding RNA is filed under the name Marmota monax (woodchuck). Lineage: Eukaryota; Metazoa; Chordata; Mammalia; Rodentia; Sciuridae. The record is from RNAcentral.
GUCAGCGAGGGUCACGCAGCCCUAAGUCCGGGGGCCUGUGCUGUGUCUGGGGAGGGAGAGGUGGAGGCUGCCUGGCCUCUCCUGGCCUGAACCAGAGGGUGGGUGACCAUGGUGCUGUCCUUGAGAUCCUGGAAUUUCUGGCUGAGGCAGGAGCAAGGGAGCCUGUCCUGGACACCCCACUAGGUGCUGGCUGAGAGUGGGCAGCUCCCCCUGGACAGCAGCCUGGGAAAGGAACAAGGCUGGCCUGCCAUGAGAGUUGGGCCUGGGGCAGAGGAGGAGGGGGAGGGACAGGUGUGGCCAGCUCUGCAGGGCCCCUGAGAUUGGCGGAUGAGGAUGGGAAGUGUCCCCUUAGCCCACAGGGGUCCUCAGUGCUAGACACCAAGCAGUGUUACCAUCCAGGGCCUCUGCCAAGCCCCACUGGUUAGGGGGCUUCUUUAUCUGGCGGAACUCCAGGCCCUCCCAGCCUCUUGCCCAGCAGCCUGCUGCCCCUGACCCACACCCAGACCCACUCUCUGUCCAGUCCUCCCGCUGCCCUUCUGCUGCUCUUUCUGGGAGACAGAAAGGUGACUCCUAAAGGAGAGGGGAGCAAGUGGCCCUGGUGCCAGAGUGCCAGCAGCUCGGGAGCCUGGCCCAGGCAGGCAGCAGGCUCAGCAGUGGUCCCCGAGAGUCACCCCAGUGCAGGGGUGGGGCUAUUUGCCUGCUCCUGUGUGUCCCGCAGCCCUGAGGCAGCGUGGCACCCCUGCUGUGGGAGCAAGAGGGCUGCAGGGUGGUGUGCCUACAGCCAAGGUGCCCCCAUCCCUGGCUGAGUGCAGGGGCAGGGGCAGCUCAGGCCGGUCCACAGGUAGGGCACUGGGCUCCGGAGGGUGGGCGCGCAGCCGCAGCCGGAGAGGAGGAAACGCCGCCGUCUCUCUGUCCCUUGUCUGUCCCUGUCUGUCCUCUGGCCCUCUGGGCUUGUCUGACUGCUCACCUGUGUGUCCCUCAGUUUCUGUCCCUCCCUUUCUGAGUUCCUGCCUCCCUCCCUCCCUCCCCAGUGGCCUCCUGCCCUGCAGUCAGGCCUGGGUCCCCGCUCCCUGGCCCUGGAAGCUGGACGCGGGGCCUCCCUACCUCGCCCUCUCCCUCCUGACCCGUUCCAGUCGGCCACCCUGCCCUGUGAGGAGCCUGGGACUCUCCCAGAGAGCUUCUCCACCUUGCUGGGCCCCCGCAGGGCCCCGGAGACCUCUUCCUGAGUCUCCAGGUCCCCUUAGAGCUCUGGGCCUCGGGGAGGCUCUGACUGGGCUCUGCUGCAGCCCCAGGGGCCAGGAACCCAGCG